CAUGGCUCAGGAUGAACGCUGGCGGCGUGCUUAACACAUGCAAGUCGAACGGUGAAGCCAAGCUUGCUUGGUGGAUCAGUGGCGAACGGGUGAGUAACACGUGAGCAACCUGCCCUGAACUCUGGGAUAAGCGCUGGAAACGGCGUCUAAUACUGGAUAUGAGCUGCGGAGGCAUCUUCGUGGUUGGAAAGAUUUUUCGGUUUGGGAUGGGCUCGCGGCCUAUCAGCUUGUUGGUGAGGUAAUGGCUCACCAAGGCGUCGACGGGUAGCCGGCCUGAGAGGGUGACCGGCCACACUGGGACUGAGACACGGCCCAGACUCCUACGGGAGGCAGCAGUGGGGAAUAUUGCACAAUGGGCGGAAGCCUGAUGCAGCAACGCCGCGUGAGGGAUGACGGCCUUCGGGUUGUAAACCUCUUUUAGCAGGGAAGAAGCGAAAG
Molecule: ribosomal RNA, 438 nt
Filed under: Microbacterium aurantiacum
Lineage: Bacteria; Bacillati; Actinomycetota; Actinomycetes; Micrococcales; Microbacteriaceae
Description: bacterial SSU rRNA
Rfam family: Bacterial small subunit ribosomal RNA
Source: RNAcentral